CCAACUGACAACAAGAGAGGAGG
Molecule: non-coding RNA, 23 nt
Filed under: Cricetulus griseus (Chinese hamster)
Lineage: Eukaryota; Metazoa; Chordata; Mammalia; Rodentia; Cricetidae
Source: RNAcentral